RNAcentral lists this unclassified non-coding RNA (364 nucleotides) under uncultured fungus. Its description in RNAcentral is "partial contains 5.8S ribosomal RNA and internal transcribed spacer 2". The stretch from base 1 to 133 matches the Rfam family "5.8S ribosomal RNA", at positions 22 to 154 of the family's 154-position model. The record is from RNAcentral. Lineage: Eukaryota; Fungi.
UGGUUCUCGCAUCGAUGAAGAACGCAGCGAAACGCGAUAGGUAAUGUGAAUUGCAGAAUUCCGUGAAUCAUCGAAUCUUUGAACGCACAUUGCGCCUGCUGGUAUUCCGGUAGGCAUGCCUGUUUGAGCGUCAGCAAAACUCCUCAGCAUGAAAUUUUUUGUGUUGGUUAUGGGUAGUGGAGGAUGAGCCUAAACCGUUCACUCCCGCCUUAAACUUGCUGCACGACCGCAAGCUAAAAGCUAGGUUAAUGGAGUGGUAUUUACAUAUAUUCCAGCAUCUGCUAAUAGCUUUGUGGCGUUAAACAUAAAGUUACCCUCCGGGUAACUGAAGUUUGACCUCAAAUCAGACAAGGAUACCCGCUGA